CAGAUGCUGUCAAACGCUUGAUACCUUCGGCACCACUUCUUUAGCGCUAGCUUCUGGACAAAAUCCACAAACAGCCUGUGUCCCUUGGCCUGACUGCUGGCCUCUAGUCUUUCCCAAAUGGAUCCUCUGAAAGGAGGUAGCUAAGACAUGUGAGUGACAAGCAUAUCUCAGCCACUUCUGGGAUGGAGUACAGACACAGCCACUCGUAAUUACUUAAGACCAGGAAUGAAAAAGAACACAGUGAAACUACCCAGGAAGUGAAGGACUGGCAUUUCUCAAAUUGUUAUUUACUCU
This is a long non-coding RNA of Neopsephotus bourkii (Bourke's parrot), 294 nucleotides long. RefSeq lists it as uncharacterized. NCBI's taxonomy places the organism in Eukaryota, Metazoa, Chordata, Aves, Psittaciformes, Psittacidae. The transcript is spliced from 2 exons. The record is from RefSeq and is a predicted model, not a curated record.